RNAcentral lists this unclassified non-coding RNA (639 nucleotides) under Melitaea cinxia (Glanville fritillary). Its description in RNAcentral is "misc RNA ENSMCXG00005006975.1". The record is from RNAcentral. Lineage: Eukaryota; Metazoa; Arthropoda; Insecta; Lepidoptera; Nymphalidae.
GUACAAUAAUGUAUUAUGUUAACGUGAAGCUACCAGCGGAUUCGAAUUGUAGAUUUUGCUGAGAAGAACCUACUAUAAAUUCAACAAUACCCUCUUAAAAUUUAUGGAUUCUGUGUUAAGCCGGACAUUUUCUGAUUGAAUGUUCUAAAUCUAGUUUUCUUAUAAACAUAAUUGUUCGGCAAUCGUGGAAAGGAGAACUGUGAGCUAGGUUCAAAAAAUGCAAUGCCAGUGAUUUUUUACAUAAGACAAGCUUGAUUGAUGGCUUGUUAUUCGUUUAAAAGAAGUUCUAUAUGGCCCUAGUUUGGAUAUGCUACGGCACAUAAUUAACCCCGUCCAACGCGGAUGAAAAACGCGCCGUAAAAUGUGCUACUUAACUUUACGUACAUAUCUGCAUUCUACGGAAGCCACGAUUCCGUUUCCGCGACGGAGACAGAUAAAAAUUGCUGAGUCUUUAGGUAAGUUAGGUAUCUGUAAAAAUUAAACAAGGAUCGACUAUAUGUAUAUGUGUAAUUUAUUACACUUUUUUACCACAAAAAAAACGUAAUAGCCAAGUCGAUAAUCUAUAUAAACAGAAAGCUAUGCUAGCUAUGUUCUAUAAUUUUUCUUUCAAAUUUAAUGAAAUGAAGUUCAAUUAAAUUA